UACGAAGGGGGCUAGCGUUGCUCGGAAUCACUGGGCGUAAAGGGUGCGUAGGCGGGUCUUUAAGUCAGGGGUGAAAUCCUGGAGCUCAACUCCAGAACUGCCUUUGAUACUGAGGAUCUUGAGUUCGGGAGAGGUGAGUGGAACUGCGAGUGUAGAGGUGAAAUUCGUAGAUAUCUGGGGGAACACCGGUGGCGAAGGCGGCAUCCUGGACCGGCAUUGACGCUGAGGCGCGAAAGCCAGGGGAGCAAACGGG
RNAcentral lists this ribosomal RNA (253 nucleotides) under uncultured bacterium. RNAcentral describes it as "partial 16S ribosomal RNA". It matches the Rfam family "Bacterial small subunit ribosomal RNA", at positions 524 to 776 of the family's 1533-position model. The record is from RNAcentral.